CCUACGGGGGGCAGCAGUAGGGAAUCUUUCACAAUGGGCGAAAGCCUGAUGGAGCAACGCCGCGUGCAGGAUGAAGGCCUUCGGGUUGUAAACUGCUUUUAUAAGCGAGAAAUAUGAUGGUAACUUAUGAAUAAGGAUCGGCUAACUACGUGCCAGCAGCCGCGGUCAUACGUAGGAUCCGAGCAUUAUCCGGAGUGACUGGGUGUAAAGAGUUGCGUAGGUGGCAUAAUAAGUAGCUAGUGAAAUCUGGUGGCUCAACAAUUCAGACUAUUAGCUAAACUGUUAAGCUCGAGACCGUUAGGGGUAACUGGAAUUUCUAGUGUAGGAGUGAAAUCCGUAGAUAUUAGAAGGAACACCAAUAGCGUAGGCAGGUUGCUGGGACGGUUCUGACACUAAGGCACGAAAGCGUAGGGAGCAAACGGGAUUAGAUACCCGUGUAGUC
Molecule: ribosomal RNA, 442 nt
Filed under: uncultured bacterium
Lineage: Bacteria
Description: partial 16S ribosomal RNA
Rfam family: Bacterial small subunit ribosomal RNA
Source: RNAcentral